Molecule: ribosomal RNA, 301 nt
Filed under: uncultured bacterium
Lineage: Bacteria
Description: partial 16S ribosomal RNA
Rfam family: Bacterial small subunit ribosomal RNA
Source: RNAcentral
CAGUCGCCGCGGUAAUACGUAGGGUGCGAGCGUUAAUCGGAAUUACUGGGCGUAAAGGGCGUGUAGGCGGCCUGGGGCGUCCCAUGUGAAAGGCCACGGCUCAACCGUGGAGGAGCGUGGGAUACGCUCAGGCUAGAGGGUGGGAGAGGGUGGUGGAAUUCCCGGAGUAGCGGUGAAAUGCGCAGAUACCGGGAGGAACGCCGAUGGCGAAGGCAGCCACCUGGUCCACUUCUGACGCUGAGGCGCGAAAGCGUGGGGAGCAAACCGGAUUAGAUACCCGCGUAGUCCCUGUCUCUUAUAC